AUACUUACCUGGAUGGGGUCAAUGGAUGAUCAAGAAGGUCCAUGACCUAGGUUGGUGACCUCCAUUGCACUUAGGCGGGGCGCUUGCUUAAGGUGUUCUCAAGUAGAACAGCCUACAUCAUAAUUUGUUGCAGUGGGGGCUGCGUUCGCGCGGCCCCUU
This 159-nucleotide small nuclear RNA is filed under the name Trifolium pratense (red clover). RNAcentral describes it as "snRNA U1". It matches the Rfam family "U1 spliceosomal RNA". Rfam says of the family: U1 is a small nuclear RNA (snRNA) component of the spliceosome (involved in pre-mRNA splicing). Lineage: Eukaryota; Viridiplantae; Streptophyta; Magnoliopsida; Fabales; Fabaceae. The record is from RNAcentral.